GGAAAGCCACACUGAGAGCUGCCCUGGGGAGGUGUCCCUGUGGCCAGGAACUGAGGGCAACCCUCCAGCCAACAACCAGCGAAGAACUGAGGCUCUCGGCCCAACAGCCUGCGUGGAAUGGAAUCCCACCAACAACCAUGGCAGUGAGCUUGAAAGUGGCCCCUCCCCAUCUCGAGCCUGAGAUGACCACAGCCCCAGCUGGACCGGGAACGCAGCCUGCAGACUCUGAGAUGGAGGACUCGGAAACACCUGCUGUGUGGAGAACGGAUCAGAGGAGGGCAAGACAGCAGAGAGGAAGACCAGGAAGGAGGCAGGUGGGAUGGUCCAAGGGAGAGUUAAUGGGGCCUGAAGUGGCAGCAAUGGAAACGGAAUGGAGGAAGCAGAUUCAAGAGAGUGGCUGGAGAGAGGAUGAGGGUCAAGGACGACAUGGGGUUAUGAUCUGCACCUCUGGAAGGUGGUACCACCGUCCACCGAGGAAUGAGCCACAGAAGAGAGGAAGCCAGUCGCAGGUGAGGAGAGGGGAAGUGCCAAGUUCAGUUUCAGAGUCUUACAGGACAUCCAAAAAGACAUACCCCACGGAAAGCUGCAAGCAGGAUCCAGAGCUUAAGAAAGAUGGCAAGUCGGAGACCUCAUUUAGACACAGUUGUACACUCUCUCCAUCACUAUCAUUUGGUACAUAUGUCUCCAGGUCCUAAAGUAUCUCAUUCAAAACUUCUUCCCGGCUUUGCCUGAGCCUUGCUGUGGUUUUUUCUGCCUUUUUUCUACAUUUUCUCUUUCUAAUCCUGAGGAAGUCAGUCAUGCAAGACAUAAUGAGAAUGCUGAGACUUGCCUGUGUUGAUCUGAAUUUUGGCACAAGAUUCAUAAAGAGAAUAGUGACUUUUAUGCUCAGAUGAGGAAACUGAGGUUUGGCCAGGUCAGAACCACCCACUGGACCAAGAAAAGACAUGAGAUGUGAGCUAUAUACAUGUGUGUGUAUAUAAUAUACAGAUCUUCUUUGACUUAUAAUGG
RNAcentral lists this long non-coding RNA (1008 nucleotides) under Equus caballus (horse). RNAcentral's name for it is "lncRNA (ENSECAG00000046121.1)". Lineage: Eukaryota; Metazoa; Chordata; Mammalia; Perissodactyla; Equidae. The record is from RNAcentral.